Long non-coding RNA from Cyprinus carpio (common carp), 1839 nucleotides. RefSeq lists it as uncharacterized. The transcript is spliced from 3 exons. Lineage: Eukaryota; Metazoa; Chordata; Actinopteri; Cypriniformes; Cyprinidae. The record is from RefSeq and is a predicted model, not a curated record.
AAUGAAGUCGUCAGGAGCUCAAACCAAAGACAUGAUAAAGGCUUUUAAUCUUCUUGAAAAUGCCUGUCACGAGGUGCUCAUUUAAACAACUCAAGACAGAGAGUCUAUAGAGAGAAACAACAGUCUGUUCUGAUGAACAGAAAACACGUCACACCGUCAGGCUCCUGCAGUCACACACUUCAGCUCAUGUCAGCAUGACCUGAACACUGCUUUCACUCAGGUCCAGUGUAACAUGCUGCACACAGCUGCGAUUCUUCUGCUGUAGGGUUUAAAAUAUUACAUGGACCAGCAGCAUGGAAAAGCUUGUUUAGUGGAUGAUGGUGUGCAGAUCAACGGUAAUUCAGCACUGAUGCACUAGACUAGAUGCUUUGUGUGAGUUAUUCUCUAAACAUCUUCCCUAUAGGCCUUCCUGCCAUUUCAACACAUACUACUCAAAACUGGCAUAUUGUGAUGCUCUUGAGUUUGUGAUUCCCUCAGUUUGCUUCUGAAGAGCUAUACAGCAUGUGAGCGGGAUAAAGUAGUGUUCUACUCAUUUUUGCAGCGUGACAGCCUCAGAUCUCCUAUCAUCGUUUGGACAAAACAUCUGUGUUUCCCAAAAGAAAUCAAAUCCCAACUCUGUCUUUUAUACUGACAGGUUUCAGAGAGGCAGAAAGCACAGAUCACCCUCCAUUAGUAGCACUGAAACCCCGUGUUCAUGCACUAGUUUGUCUUCUCUGCUCUGAUAACAACAGAAAGCACACAGAGAAGCAGCGGCUCUCUCGAGUUCAGAGGUCAGUCAGUGAAGCAUUAACCAGCCGCCGUAAAUCCCUCUAAAUCAUCACGGGUUUCAGCUUUCCCUCAGAGCUCAAAGUCCAGCUCCAGAGACCGAGCUGAUGUCCUCUCCAGCGGCGUUUCUGAACGAGCUCCCGGGAUGGUUCCUGUGGACGGGAGUCUUCUUCCCCGUGACGGCUCUCCUGCUGCUGCUCAUCGCUGUCCUCAGCUGGAAACUCAGAGAGACAGAGGAAGAGCUGGCCGUGACACCAGACCCUCGGCAGACAGCCUAUCAUCUGUGUUACGGGCCGCGCUGCAGACACAGGACAGAGCGCACAAGACGAGCACGAAACAGAUCACCUGUGAAGAGUCAGUCCAGAUCACCUGAGCCAGAGACGUGUCAGCAGAAGCAUGCAUGUGACCACAUCAAGAUUUAGACGCACCUCUCCUCACACAACAGACUGCUGAAGUCAUGAGACAUGCAUAUUAUUUAAAAAGAAAACUGUUUCCAUGUAGUCUGCUGUCACUGGUAAAGUCUGUACUUCAUCUUCAGAUUAUCCUACUCAACUACAUCAGAAACGACAUGAGUGUCAAAGAAGUCUGAGGACACAUCGUCACACUUGAGGCUUCAACUUUAUCAAGAGAAAUGAGCAAAAACCAUAAAGAGACAGAAAUCUCCUGUUCUGCGCUAUAAUUAAUGGAGCCGCACAGCAGGAUGAACUUAAAGAGGACGCCGUGUCUCACAGCAGGACACAAAAACAGCUUGUACGCUCUCAGACAUCACAAAACUCUCAAGGUCUUGUAAGGUUUUGGUUUUAUUUCACAGCUCUCCUUAUUCUGAUUGUUCAGUCGCAGCACAGCGACUGACAGAAAUAAAAACGGCCUCGGGAGAACUUCAGUAUUAACAAAAACACUGAAAACAAUGCAUGUGAAUCAUAUAUAAAUGAAUAUUGUAAUAUUUUUGUUGUUGUAGUUGACUAUCACUCAUGCGUAUAUUUCAGCUUCCAGCCAAAGUCUCUUUAUUUUAUUGACCAAUGCAAAUUUUAACAUACAUUUGGAGCUUGGCAAGAAUUAAAGGUGCAUUCAGCA